Molecule: ribosomal RNA, 253 nt
Filed under: uncultured bacterium
Lineage: Bacteria
Description: partial 16S ribosomal RNA
Rfam family: Bacterial small subunit ribosomal RNA
Source: RNAcentral
UACAGAGGGUGCGAGCGUUGUUCGGACUUAUUGGGCGUAAAGGGCGCGUAGGCGGUGCGGUAAGUCACCUGUGAAAUCUCCUGGCUCAACUGGGAGCUUGCAGGCGAAACUGCCGUGCUGGAGUGUGGGAGAGGUGCGUGGAAUUCCUGGUGUAGCGGUGAAAUGCGUAGAUAUCAGGAGGAACACCUGUGGCGAAAGCGGCGCACUGGACCACAACUGACGCUGAGGCGCGAAAGCUAGGGGAGCAAACAGG